Molecule: long non-coding RNA, 667 nt
Filed under: Parus major (Great Tit)
Lineage: Eukaryota; Metazoa; Chordata; Aves; Passeriformes; Paridae
Description: lncRNA (ENSPMJG00000001312.1)
Source: RNAcentral
CCUGCUCCCAUGCUCUGCACAGAACAUUGUUGUCAUUUAACAGGGAAUCUUCCUGCUUUCCAAUGUUCUCAGACCCUUAUGAGGAUUCAAUGACCUGUGUUUUUGAACAAGAGUUGAAUAGCUAAAUCCAGUAUGGUCCACCAUUGAUGUAAAAACUGACUCCUAAGAGUGUAAUCGACCCAGUUAUGAGGCUCCCUUCGGGUACUGGAAGGCCACAGCGAUGCAGGUUUGUAAUUGGCCUUUCCUGCUCCGAGAUGGCCCCAGCUGCUGUGCCAUGUUCCUGGCUCCCAGCUCUGAGGCGCUGACUACAGGUCUCCCAUUGCCCUGGAAGUUUGUAGUUACAAGAUGUGAGUGGAGGAUUGGUUUAUUUUAGGUUUACAACUAUCCUAGGAUGAAAAACAGCCUUGAGAAAUGGUUCUUGAUAGUGGGAUACCAUUCACACUGAACACAAAAAUAAGCCCAGGUUCAGCUUUAAAAUUCAGAGCAUAUUACAUAUCCGAGUCCCAUAACCACUUCUACAUUUUGUGCAGUGUAAAUUUGUUCAGUGUUUCCAUUCACUGAGAGAAGUCAGGGACUUCCAAAGAACCCACCACUUGUCAGGAUGCUGGCUUACAUACACCUGCUUUGUCGCUUCACUGUGGGCUAUGAUUAAAGCUAUGUUAUCCCA